RNAcentral lists this ribosomal RNA (544 nucleotides) under Hymenoscyphus sp. UBCTRA1302.5. RNAcentral's name for it is "eukaryotic LSU rRNA". It matches the Rfam family "Eukaryotic large subunit ribosomal RNA", at positions 1 to 548 of the family's 3401-position model. The record is from RNAcentral. Lineage: Eukaryota; Fungi; Ascomycota; Leotiomycetes; Helotiales; Helotiaceae.
UGACCUCGGAUCAGGUAGGGAUACCCGCUGAACUUAAGCAUAUCAAUAAGCGGAGGAAAAGAAACCAACAGGGAUUGCCUCAGUAACGGCGAGUGAAGCGGCAACAGCUCAAAUUUGAAAUCUGGCUCUUUCAGGGUCCGAGUUGUAAUUUGUAGAAGAUGCUUUGAGUGUAGCUCCAGUCUAAGUUCCUUGGAACAGGACGUCAUAGAGGGUGAGAAUCCCGUAUGUGACUGGGUGCUUUCGCUCGUGUAAAGCUCUUUCGACGAGUCGAGUUGUUUGGGAAUGCAGCCCAAAGUGGGUGGUAAAUUUCAUCUAAAGCUAAAUAUUGGCCAGAGACCGAUAGCGCACAAGUAGAGUGAUCGAAAGAUGAAAAGCACUUUGGAAAGAGAGUUAAACAGUACGUGAAAUUGUUGAAAGGGAAGCGCUUGCAACCAGACUUGCGCGCUGUUGAUCAUCCGAGCUUCUGCCCGGUGCACUCGACAGCGUUCAGGCCAGCAUCGGUUUUGGUGAGCGGAGAAAGGCCUUGGGAAUGUAGCUUCUUUCG